RNAcentral lists this ribosomal RNA (423 nucleotides) under uncultured bacterium. RNAcentral's name for it is "bacterial SSU rRNA". It matches the Rfam family "Bacterial small subunit ribosomal RNA", at positions 355 to 775 of the family's 1533-position model. The record is from RNAcentral.
UAAGGAAUAUUGGUCAAUGGGCGCAAGCCUGAACCAGCCAUGCCGCGUGCAGGAAGACGGCCCUAUGGGUUGUAAACUGCUUUUAUCAGGGAAUAAACCCCCGCUCGUGAGCGGGGCUGAAGGUACCUGAAGAAUAAGCAUCGGCUAACUCCGUGCCAGCAGCCGCGGUAAUACGGAGGAUGCAAGCGUUAUCCGGAUUUAUUGGGUUUAAAGGGUGCGCAGGCGGAUUGGUAAGUCAGGGGUGAAAUCCCACAGCUCAACUGUGGAACUGCCCUUGAUACUGUCAGUCUAGAGUAUAGUUGAAGUGGGCGGAAUGUGUCAUGUAGCGGUGAAAUGCUUAGAUAUGACACAGAACACCGAUCGCGAAGGCAGCUCGCUAAGCUAUAACUGACGCUCAUGCACGAAAGCGUGGGGAUCAAAUAG